AAAAAAAACAAAACAAAACAAAAACAACAACACAUAAAACUUCGUUGCUGGCCAGUAUGCUAAUAGGAUCAGAGAAAGAACUCCUUUAAAUCCACAGAAUAAAGGGAUACAUGGAGACCUGGCUAAUAGAAAAGGAUGAUGAAACCUAAGAUAAGUCCUCCUUCUGAAUACCCACUACCUACAUCUUAAUCCAUUACUGCAACUGCCUAAUUCAGUAAAAUUGCACAAACAGAAAUAGUCUAUCAUACACACUUUAGCUAAGCAUCAUGAGAGUACAUAAUAAGGAAGAGUGAUAUUAAACUAUCAUUACUAUGAAAGUGAAAUGUUGGAAUUAGAGAGAAUGGAAGGGCCUGGCUAAAUAUUGACGAGCAACAGAGCAAUGAGAGAAGCAGAUAUCAGCACCUUUUCCAACAGACAGACUUACUUUCCUUCCCAGAAACUAACAAUGUAUCUCAUGCAAGAUGAUUCUUGAAGACACUUUGGGAAGAUGAAUGUCCCUAUAUAGUAUGGGCAGGGUCUCCGAGGCGUUAACUUCUGUAGAAGCUUGGGAAAUAUGGGGAACAGCUAGGUUCUGAUUGUAAUAUUUCUGUGUUGGGAAAAUUGUACCCAGUUUUGACAAAGAAGAGAAAAGGCUGAAAAUGAAAUCCUACCAGAGGAUGCUAGGGCAGAGAAUCUGCUGCUACCGGGUCUCAUCUUUCAUUGCAGAGCUGUCAUCUUGCAAUGCUUGAGUUUUCCAAACGUAGGUUGAAUCUCUAUAAAGCUCUCUGUCAACAGAGAAGUGGGAGAAAGCAAAGUUAUGGAGGAGGAUUUCUGAAGUCUUCCAGAAAGUGAUGCUGCUAACUUUGCAAGCUUGAGACUCGCCUCCAGGAAUUUCUUUGAGACUGA
Long non-coding RNA from Mastomys coucha (southern multimammate mouse), 885 nucleotides. RefSeq lists it as uncharacterized. The record is from RefSeq and is a predicted model, not a curated record. The transcript is spliced from 3 exons. NCBI's taxonomy places the organism in Eukaryota, Metazoa, Chordata, Mammalia, Rodentia, Muridae.